RNAcentral lists this ribosomal RNA (850 nucleotides) under Devibursaphelenchus teratospicularis. Its description in RNAcentral is "SSU rRNA". It matches the Rfam family "Eukaryotic small subunit ribosomal RNA", at positions 530 to 1387 of the family's 1831-position model. Lineage: Eukaryota; Metazoa; Nematoda; Chromadorea; Rhabditida; Aphelenchoididae. The record is from RNAcentral.
CACUUUAACGAGUAUCUACGAGAGGGCAAGUCUGGUGCCAGCAGCCGCGGUAAUUCCAGCUCUCGUAAGGUAUAGAAUUAUUGCUGUGGUUAAAAAGUUCGUAGUUGGAUGGUUAUGUUGACGCGGGGUCCACCGUUUUCGGUUGGUACUCGUUCGUCUUCGAUUUGUGUGUUCUUGUGCGUUGUUCGUUUUCGGACGUUCGGCGUGCGCCACACAAGAUUACUUUGAACGGCUCAAGUGCUCAACGCACGUCUUAUGACUGAAUACCGGUGCAUAGAAUAAUGGAACAAGGCUUCGGCCGAGUUAUGCUGGUUUUGUCGGCUGAGGCAAUGGUUAACAGAAACAGCCGGUGGCAUUCGUAUCGUUACGCGAGAGGUGAAAUUCGUGGACCGUAGCGAGACGUACAAAAGCGAAGGCACUUGCCAAGAGUGUUUUCAUUAAUCAAGAACGAAAGUCAGAGGUUCGAAGGCGAUUAGAUACCGCUUUAGUUCUGACCGUAAACGCUGCCAACUGUCGAUCCGCUUGUGGAUUUUAUUUCAUAAGCGGGGAGAUUCUCGGAAACGAAAGUUUUUCGGUUCCGGGGGAAGUAUGGUUGCAAAACUGAAACUUAAAGGAAUUGACGGAAGGGCACCACCAGGAGUGGAGCUUGCGGCUUAAUUUGACUCAACACGGGAAAUCUCACCCGGCCAGUACAUUGUAAGGAUUGACAGACUGAUAGCUCUUUCAUGAUUCGGUGAAUGGUGGUGCAUGGCCGUUCUUAGUUCGUGGAUUGAUUUGUCUGGUUUAUUCCGAUAACGAGCGAGACUUUGACUAUUAAAUAGUGCGAUUGUUCGUUUACGCUGCAAUCGAU